This 497-nucleotide ribosomal RNA is filed under the name uncultured bacterium. RNAcentral describes it as "partial 16S ribosomal RNA". It matches the Rfam family "Bacterial small subunit ribosomal RNA", at positions 28 to 507 of the family's 1533-position model. The record is from RNAcentral.
GAUGAACGCUGGCGGCGUGCCUAAUACAUGCCAGUCGAGCGAACAGAUGAGGAGCUUGCUCCUCUGACGUUAGCGGCGGACGGGUGAGUAACACGUGGAUAACCUACCUAUAAGACUGGGAUAACUUCGGGAAACCGGAGCUAAUACCGGAUAAUAUAUUGAACCGCAUGGUUCAAUAGUGAAAGACGGUUUUGCUGUCACUUAUAGAUGGAUCCGCGCCGCAUUAGCUAGUUGGUAAGGUAACGGCUUACCAAGGCAACGAUGCGUAGCCGACCUGAGAGGGUGAUCGGCCACACUGGAACUGAGACACGGUCCAGACUCCUACGGGAGGCAGCAGUAGGGAAUCUUCCGCAAUGGGCGAAAGCCUGACGGAGCAACGCCGCGUGAGUGAUGAAGGUCUUCGGAUCGUAAAACUCUGUUAUUAGGGAAGAACAAAUGUGUAAGUAACUAUGCACGUCUUGACGGUACCUAACCAGAAAGCCACGGCUAACUACGUG